UGUGACCGUUAGCGCAUAGUACAGUAAUGGAAGUGCAUAAACCAAAUUAAAGGCUUAAAUUAAAAAUAAAAUGGCUGGUGCAAUGGCACAAAAAAUA
RNAcentral lists this ribosomal RNA (97 nucleotides) under Polytomella magna. RNAcentral's name for it is "large subunit ribosomal RNA". The record is from RNAcentral. Lineage: Eukaryota; Viridiplantae; Chlorophyta; Chlorophyceae; Chlamydomonadales; Chlamydomonadaceae.